UACGUAGGGCGCAAGCGUUGUCCGGAAUUAUUGGGCGUAAAGAGCUCGUAGGCGGUCUGUUACGUCCGCUGUGAAAACCCAGGGCUUAACCCUGGGCUUGCAGUGGAUACGGGUAGACUAGAGGCAGGUAGGGGAGAAUGGAAUUCCCGGUGUAGCGGUGAAAUGCGCAGAUAUCAGGAGGAACACCGAUGGCGAAGGCAGGUCUCUGGGCCAUAACUGACGCUGAGAAGCGAAAGCAUGGGGAGCGAACAGG
This 253-nucleotide ribosomal RNA is filed under the name uncultured bacterium. RNAcentral's name for it is "partial 16S ribosomal RNA". It matches the Rfam family "Bacterial small subunit ribosomal RNA", at positions 524 to 776 of the family's 1533-position model. The record is from RNAcentral.